GCAACUUGUAUAUACCAUGAGUUGUGGGAAAAUAUUCCCCAGGGUUUGGAGUAUAACUUACUUUGGAUGGAGCCCAAUAACUUUAAUUCAGGCUCAUGGCUCAGAAUCGUAGCUCCGCUUGUUCCUAGGUGGUCCUGGAACCUAACCCACACAAUAAUUGAGGGAACACUGUAAGUGUGGCCAUGUGAAGCAGGAUAGUUGCAAGAAGCAGCCAGUGGAAGCAGAGAAAACCCAGGAAUGAAGAAAAGAAGAAAGCCAUCCAGACGGGACAUUAAAAUCAUGAGGACAAAUGGAGAAUAUUUGGGCCAGUUUUGAUUCACCUUCAUCCAGCCCUGCCAGUAACUGAAUUACUGGCAGACCGAAGACCUGCGUACAUUCAACCAAACCACUCAGUUUCUGCCAGAUUGAAGACCAUCAGCCAAAUCAACCAAAUUUCUGCAAAAGCCACAGGCUUAAAGAUUGAGAAGAAUUCUUUGGCAACCAUCAACUCUAAACUUGAGUGUAAAAGUCUUCGACUCUUCAUUUGCUGCUGUCAUUUUUAUUACAACUACUACAGUA
Molecule: long non-coding RNA, 558 nt
Organism: Anolis carolinensis (green anole)
Lineage: Eukaryota; Metazoa; Chordata; Lepidosauria; Squamata; Anolidae
Exons: 3
Source: RefSeq, a predicted model, not a curated record